GUUUUAGAGAGAGAAAGUGCGUGGCCUUGUGGGGGGUGGUGUGGUGGUGGCUAUGGCUUGGCUUCUUUUGGGUCGCAUUUACUUCAGGAAACAACAACCGCAACAAGACUGGCUCUUACUUUCUCGACUCUUGUGAGAGCAACAACUCUGAACAGAUUCACCAAAGUGAUGGUCCACACUCCACAGCAAAGAAGAAGAAGAAGAAGAAGAAUAAGAAGAAGAGAAGAAGUUGGUCUACAAGGGGAACUGAACCACCUUACAUAAAAGAUAAAAUGGGAGUCAAAAAAGUGUGGCUUGGUUUGUUCAAUAGCAAUUGGCACUUGGCUUGUGCUAGUUUCUAAUUCAUUGAAAAAGAAACCAAGGUUCCUUUUACUUAUAAUAAAACCAUUAUGGUACUAUUACAUGUCCUUUUCUUUGAUUUUUAGGACAAUAAAAAUACAAUGCAAGGGAUAAUGAAAAAGAUUCAAACACCUAGUUAAUUUAUGAAUGGACAUUCAAGUGAAAGGACCAUAUAUAUAAUAUAUAAUAUAUCUAUUUUCAUUUU
This is a long non-coding RNA of Ricinus communis (castor bean), 544 nucleotides long. RefSeq lists it as uncharacterized. The record is from RefSeq and is a predicted model, not a curated record. NCBI's taxonomy places the organism in Eukaryota, Viridiplantae, Streptophyta, Magnoliopsida, Malpighiales, Euphorbiaceae. The transcript has 2 exons.